UAAUUGAUAUCGGGAGAGACUAUUAAAUAAUAGCGCCGAAGGAGCAACCACCCCGGAAACUCUCAGGCAAAUGGACCGAUAACAAACA
Molecule: regulatory RNA element, 88 nt
Organism: Candidatus Pelagibacter ubique HTCC1062
Lineage: Bacteria; Pseudomonadati; Pseudomonadota; Alphaproteobacteria; Candidatus Pelagibacterales; Candidatus Pelagibacteraceae
Rfam family: Glycine riboswitch aptamer
About the family: This family represents the bacterial glycine riboswitch. Glycine riboswitches usually consist of two metabolite-binding aptamers domains with similar structures in tandem.
Source: Rfam